Molecule: long non-coding RNA, 479 nt
Organism: Scomber scombrus (Atlantic mackerel)
Lineage: Eukaryota; Metazoa; Chordata; Actinopteri; Scombriformes; Scombridae
Exons: 3
Source: RefSeq, a predicted model, not a curated record
GUGGUUUGGAAGUACAAGGUCCUGCUGGAAAUUGGACCGGUAUUUUCAGGCUUUUUUUUUUUUUUUUCUCCACCAGAGAACCUCUAGAAGAUCUUAAGAGCCAUCCCAGCUCUUCCCUCCGUUGUGACCCACCUCACACCACAUCAGCAGACAUGAUCAUCAGACUGGGCAGACUGACCCCUGGAUACUUCCGCCUCCUCCAGAGGCAAGUAGCCGGUGAGGUGCAAACUCAGCCACAAGACCGUGCCAUCAACCAGAUAGCCAUGAUGCUGGCCAUCAUGGGCCUGAGUUUGUCCUACUACAGUGCCAAACAGAUGACAGAGAAUGUUCAGGCCCAGCACCCUGCACCCUGAAGAGACUUGACUACUCUGAUCUUGGAGUUGAUGGAUGAUUAAAUGAGAAGUGAAGGAGGUGGAGCGAGAACGUAGAAAUGGAGACAUGGCAGUUUCUCCAAGGACCGCACUUUUCUCACCUCACAG